RNAcentral lists this ribosomal RNA (449 nucleotides) under uncultured bacterium. RNAcentral's name for it is "partial 16S ribosomal RNA". It matches the Rfam family "Bacterial small subunit ribosomal RNA", at positions 354 to 796 of the family's 1533-position model. The record is from RNAcentral.
GUCGAGAAUCUUUCACAAUGGGGGCAACCCUGAUGGAGCGACGCCGCGUGGAGGAUAAGGUCUUCGGAUUGUAAACUCCUGUCAUGCGUGAACAAGGUUGCUUGGUUAAUACCUGGGCAAAUUGAUGGUAACGCAAGAGGAAGAGACGGCUAACUCUGUGCCAGCAGCCGCGGUAAUACAGAGGUCUCAAGCGUUGUUCGGAAUCACUGGGCGUAAAGGGUGCGUAGGUGGCGGGGUAAGUCAGAUGUGAAAGCCCGGGGCUCAACCUCGGAACUGCAUCCGAUACUGCCAUGCUAGAGUACUGGAGAGGUGACUAGAAUUCUCGGUGUAGCAGUGAAAUGCGUAGGUAUCGAGAGGAAUACCAAAGGCGUAGGCAGGUCACUGGACAGUUACGGACACGGAGGCACGAAGGCCAGGGGAGCGAACGGGAUUAGAUACCCCGGUAGUCC